Molecule: ribosomal RNA, 477 nt
Filed under: uncultured bacterium
Lineage: Bacteria
Description: partial 16S ribosomal RNA
Rfam family: Bacterial small subunit ribosomal RNA
Source: RNAcentral
GAUGAACGCUGGCGGCGUGCCUAAUACAUGCAAGUCGAGCGGACGGACGAGAAGCUUGCUGUUCUGUUGUUAGCGGCGGACGGGUGAGUAACACGUGUAUAACCUACCUAUAAUACUGGUAUAACUUCGGGAAACCGGAGCUAAUACCGGAUAAUAUUUUGAACCGCAUGGUUCAAAAGUGAAAUACGGUCUUGCUGGCGGUUAUAGAUGGAUCCGCGCUGCAUUAGCUAGUUGUUGAGGUAGCGGCUUACCAAGGCGACGACGGGUAGCCGGCCUGAGAGGGGGACAGGCCAAAGUGGGACUGAGAUACGGCCCAGACUGCUACGGGAGGCAGCAGUGGGGAAUAUUGCACAAUGGGCGGAAGCCUGAUGCAGCAACGCCGCGUGCGGGAUAACGGCCUUCGGGUUGUAAACCGCUUUCGCCUGUGACGAAGCGUGAGUGACGGUAAUGGGUAAAGAAGCACCGGCUAACUACGUG